CAGCAGCCGCGGUAAUACGUAGGGUGCAAGCGUUAAUCGGAAUUACUGGGCGUAAAGCGUGCGCAGGCGGUUCUAUAAGACAGAUGUGAAAUCCCCGGGCUCAACCUGGGAACUGCAUUUGUGACUGUAGAGCUGGAGUGCGGCAGAGGGGGAUGGAAUUCCGCGUGUAGCAGUGAAAUGCGUAGAUAUGCGGAGGAACACCGAUGGCGAAGGCAAUUCCCUGGGCCUGCACUGACGCUCAUGCACGAAAGCGUGGGGAGCAAACAGGAUUAGAUACCCCCGUAGUCCCUGUCUCUUAUAC
This 301-nucleotide ribosomal RNA is filed under the name uncultured bacterium. RNAcentral's name for it is "partial 16S ribosomal RNA". It matches the Rfam family "Bacterial small subunit ribosomal RNA", at positions 509 to 807 of the family's 1533-position model. The record is from RNAcentral.